Molecule: non-coding RNA, 70 nt
Filed under: uncultured Mamiellales
Lineage: Eukaryota; Viridiplantae; Chlorophyta; Mamiellophyceae; Mamiellales
Source: RNAcentral
CAAAAAAAGAAAAAAAAAAAAAAAAACAAACAAACAAACAAACAAGAGAAUAUUUUCUUGUUCUUUGGUU